This 467-nucleotide ribosomal RNA is filed under the name uncultured bacterium. RNAcentral describes it as "partial 16S ribosomal RNA". It matches the Rfam family "Bacterial small subunit ribosomal RNA", at positions 28 to 506 of the family's 1533-position model. The record is from RNAcentral.
GACGAACGCUGGCGGCGUGCUUAACACAUGCAAGUCGAACGGAAAGGCCCUGCUUUUGUGGGGUGCUCGAGUGGCGAACGGGUGAGUAACACGUGAGUAACCUGCCCUUGACUUUGGGAUAACUUCAGGAAACUGGGGCUAAUACCGGAUAGGAGCUCCUGCUGCAUGGUGGGGGUUGGAAAGUUUCGGCGGUUGGGGAUGGACUCGCGGCUUAUCAGCUUGUUGGUGGGGUAGUGGCUUACCAAGGCUUUGACGGGUAGCCGGCCUGAGAGGGUGACCGGCCACAUUGGGACUGGGGUACGGCCCAGACUCCUACGGGAGGCAGCAGUGGGGACUAUUGCACAAUGGGCGGAGGCCUGAUGCAGCAACGCCGCGUGCGGGAUGACGGCCUUCGGGUUGUAAACCGCUUUCGCCUGUGACGAAGCGUGAGUGACGGUAAUGGGUAAAGAAGCACCGGCUAACUACGU